This 329-nucleotide unclassified non-coding RNA is filed under the name soil metagenome. RNAcentral describes it as "partial contains 5.8S ribosomal RNA, internal transcribed spacer 2, and large subunit ribosomal RNA". The stretch from base 1 to 120 matches the Rfam family "5.8S ribosomal RNA", at positions 35 to 154 of the family's 154-position model. The record is from RNAcentral.
GAUGAAGAACGUAGCGAAAUGCGAUAAGUAAUGUGAAUUGCAGAACUCAGUGAAUCAUCGAAUCUUUGAACGCACAUUGCGCCCCUUGGUAUCCCGAGGGGCAUGCCUGUUCGAGCGUCAUUUCACCACUCAAGCCUGGCUUGGUGUUGGGCGACGUCCCCUUUGGGGACGCGCCUCGAAACGCUCGGCGGCGUGGCACCGGCUUUAAGCGUAGCAGAAUCUUUCGCUUUGGAAGUCGGGGCCCCGUCUGCCGGAAGACCUACUCGCAAGGUUGACCUCGGAUCAGGCAGGGAUACCCGCUGAACUUAAGCAUAUCAAUAAGCGGAGGA